GCGCCUCAUGAUCGCGCCGGUGCCCCGCAAGGGGCUUAAAAGGGAACGCGGUAAGGGACCCGUCCCGAAGCCGAGGCUGUCCCUGCAACUGUAAGCGGCGAGCGCGAUGCACAACGCCCCGAUCGAACGGGGCAGCCACUGGGUCGGGCACGCAUGCGUGAUCGUCCUGGGAAGGUCGUGCAUCGUGGCGUUGACCCGUGAGCCAGGAGACCUGCCGGCGUGGGUCGCUCUUG
This 233-nucleotide non-coding RNA is filed under the name Sphingomonas sp. Lineage: Bacteria; Pseudomonadati; Pseudomonadota; Alphaproteobacteria; Sphingomonadales; Sphingomonadaceae. The record is from RNAcentral.